CAGUCGCCGCGGUAAUACGAAGGGGGCUAGCGUUGUUCGGAAUCACUGGGCGUAAAGGGUGCGUAGGCGGAUUCUUAAGUCAGGGGUGAAAUCCCGAGGCUCAACCUCGGAACCGCCUUUGAUACUGGGGAUCUUGAGUCCGGAAGAGGUGAGUGGAACUGCGAGUGUAGAGGUGAAAUUCGUAGAUAUUCGCAAGAACACCUGUGGCGAAGGCGGCUCACUGGUCCGGAACUGACGCUGAGGCACGACAGCGUGGGGAGCAAACAGGAUUAGAGACCCCGGUAGUCCCUGUCUCUUAUAC
RNAcentral lists this ribosomal RNA (301 nucleotides) under uncultured bacterium. RNAcentral describes it as "partial 16S ribosomal RNA". It matches the Rfam family "Bacterial small subunit ribosomal RNA", at positions 509 to 807 of the family's 1533-position model. The record is from RNAcentral.